Delphinapterus leucas (beluga whale) is the source of this 2839-nucleotide non-coding RNA. Lineage: Eukaryota; Metazoa; Chordata; Mammalia; Artiodactyla; Monodontidae. The record is from RefSeq and is a predicted model, not a curated record.
ACCAUGAGCUACUGUUCACUUUGGUGCUGGCCACCCCACAGCUUCCUGGGACACAGAAGACAACCCCAGGACUGCAGUAACUGAGGGCUGAAGAUGGAAAAAUCACAAUUUCCUUUAUUCCUCUGACUCCUGAAAAGAAGAUAUGGUGCUCAGUGAUAUGCUGUGGAGAUAUGACAGCAAAUCCACUCAAAAAUGAAGAAAAACCUUACUUCAGAAAUGAAGGCUGGAAUAAAGGUUGCUUUCCCUUUAUAUCACUCAGUUUGUUAGCUGAGACCUACUGAACACAACCGGUCCCCGACCCUUACCACCACCACCAAAAAAAACUCCACCAAAAAUAAAAUGCCCUAAUGAUAUUUAGAAUGCAGUAAUAGUCUUGGAGGGAGACUAGACUAUCUUAAUAUGUGAAGUGAUAUUAUAUAUAAUAAACAGCAGUGCCACUGUCUUCAACACCUUUGAAAGUCACUGGCUGGCGCUUCGGACCCUCCAGAGAUGUCCUAUUUUAUCUCCUCCUCUCCUCAUUAAACUACUCUGCUCACAGUAGAAUUGAAGGUACAUUUUACAACUUAUUAUUAAACAUUUGUAUUUUGGUUUCAUUUAGUUCUAUUAUUGCAACUACGUGUGAAUCUAUUUUAAAAUUGGAAUGCUGCAAUAAUUCAGCUACUUGCUUAAUACAUAUUUCAUGUGAUUGCCAGGAAACCUAACCAUUUGCGGCAUUGUUUCUAAGGGAUAAAUGGACUUUUGGAUCAUAUCCUCAUUAUAAAUAAGAGGCUGCCCGUACACUUAAUAAGAAUGGGGUUUGUACCAGGUGUUGCAUAGGAAACAUUAGAUGGAAAACUAUAGACCAAAUGAUUUUUGCUGUGCUAAAUUUCACACGUAGAGAGAUCUUGAUUUGCUUCCUAACUCUGUCACUGUUAUGCUGUUGAUUUUAAUUUUAAUUAAAACUUUUUGCCCAUUUUCUUGAUUCCUGGAACUCUAGAAUUUUGGAAAUAACAAAGCAUAUAGCUGUCUUUUCUUCAGAUGUAUAGAGCUUUAGGUUAUAAAGGUCCUUUAAGUUUAGCACACAUGUUAGAUAGUACACUUCAUUCCAUGGUAGUAUAGUUUCCUUACUUGCUGAGUUAAAACUGUGAUUUUUGUCUUCUCUGAAAGAAGAAAUAAAUUUUAAGUAAAGAAAACAAACAACCAAACUUCAAAUUCUUAUCAGAAAAUCAUCAAUAUUACUUUGGACUUAAUAAUUCAAUAAAAGAGAAUAUAUAUCUGAAUUGUCCUUACUAUUUUUUCAUAAGCAUAUUACCACACAUAACCAUGCUUUAAACUGCCCAAUUUUCAUGAACAAAGCAGAAGAGGAUCUGAGCCAAACUGAGAGUGAAUUAGAUGUGUGAAUAUUGAAUACAAAUUACCAGUCACUGUCCAGUGUUUAGAAUUUUUAUCUGUGCCCCUUCCCGUUCACAAAGAAAAUCAAGACACUUCCAUGGCAUGAAAGUGACGUCAUUAUCUUGAAAUGAUUAAAUUUAAAAUCUCAGUUUGUUAACAGACAAAACAUUUCUUUCUGUCUGUCUCACUGAAACAUACCAGAUCUACCUUCUCUUCUUUUGCCUUCAACCAUUUUCUUGAACAAAAGCAGAAAGAAUAAAAGAUCCUGGCUUUUGUGUGUUCUGUGUAGUUUAUGUGCUAAAUGGUAGUCAACCAUAUAAACGAUAGCAGAAACUUCCUUUUGGAAGGUCUUUCAUCUCUGAAAGCAGCUUACUGUAGCCAUCACCGUUAAUUUUAUUACUGGCACUCAGGAAUAAACCUAGUUAACUGCAGCUUCAGAGUAUAUUUGCAUAUAAUGACUAUCCUGGGAAUUCACAGUUCUGGGGUAAAUAGCCCGUUUUCCACUUUGAUGCCUCAGGGUGGUUUGAGUUUUAAAGCACUAAUAACACUGAUGGACAAUGGGCAGUUCACAGUUUUGUUUCUUUAUUUCCCUAAAGUACAUCAAAGGGGAUUUCGCUGGCUUAGCAGUGAUUCACACUAAUGAUACCUAGAAAUUUCACCUGACCAUAAGGUCACCGGAAGUCAGGCAUGUGAUGUGGUUGUCAAAAGCAAACGUGUUUUGAACUGUCUUAAUAGAGCAAGAACACCAGUCACUGUACACUGGGCUGGUCAGAUCGUUGCAGUCCUAGGUCAGAUGGCAGGGUCCCACUGUAAGGAAGGCAUUGCCAAAGUGCAGUGUCUUCAGAGGAUGCUGUGGAAUCUGCUAUGCCCAAAGCAACUGGAAGCAUUACUUCAGGAAGUUAACUUGCAGUCCGUAACCUGAAAUCCCUGAGAAAUGGGCAGAGAAAAUGCUUGCACUUUUUCAAAGCCAGGCUUUGUCUGAGGAGUGAUUCGUUUUUUGUUAGAGGCUGGAUGUACCACUUCAUACAUUGACUCCUAAGAAGGCUUUAAGAGUUGAUAUGCCGAACAUUGUGACUUUCUUUACACCUAGGAAAAAAAAAUCUCAUUCACCAAAUAUUAUUCUUAAGCAACAUUUUGACAUUGUCAUAGCAAACUUUCUCAAGGCCUAGAGGAAUGGAAACACCAGUGUGGAGGCUUUUUUCAAAAAUAUUAACCUUUACAAAAUGAAAUGGCAUUUGGAUUUAACGACAUGGAGCUCUACUAUAUACACAAACUCCAUGAAUGCCUUAUGUCCGCAAGUUCGGUUCAAACUUCAAUGUUUCGGAGUGCUUGCCUUGACCAAGAGAGAAAACCUUGACAUUUUUCUGCUCUAUAAUUUACGGUUUAUUACAUCUCUUGUAACUAUUUUUUAUUGUUUAUUUUCCAUUGUUUUCCAUGAUAUAUAUCAAUUUUAAACCUUGCAGGAUUG